GCGCCUGUAGCUCAGCGGAUAGAGCGACGGCCUCCGGAGCCGUAGGUCGCUGGUUCGAACCCAGUCAGGCGCG
RNAcentral lists this transfer RNA (73 nucleotides) under soil metagenome. It matches the Rfam family "tRNA". Rfam says of the family: Transfer RNA (tRNA) molecules are approximately 80 nucleotides in length. Their secondary structure includes four short double-helical elements and three loops (D, anti-codon, and T loops). Further hydrogen bonds mediate the characteristic L-shaped molecular structure. tRNAs have two regions of fundamental functional importance: the anti-codon, which is responsible for specific mRNA codon recognition, and the 3' end, to which the tRNAs corresponding amino acid is attached (by aminoacyl-tRNA synthetases). tRNAs cope with the degeneracy of the genetic code in two manners: having more than one tRNA (with a specific anti-codon) for a particular amino acid; and 'wobble' base-pairing, i.e. permitting non-standard base-pairing at the 3rd anti-codon position. The record is from RNAcentral.